RNAcentral lists this ribosomal RNA (508 nucleotides) under uncultured bacterium. Its description in RNAcentral is "bacterial SSU rRNA". It matches the Rfam family "Bacterial small subunit ribosomal RNA", at positions 21 to 536 of the family's 1533-position model. The record is from RNAcentral.
GGCUCAGAUUGAACGCUGGCGGCAGGCUUAACACAUGCAAGUCGAGCGGGGGCUUCGGCCCUAGCGGCGAACGGGUGAGGAAUGCCUGGGAAUCUGCCUGGUAGUGGGGGAUAACGAUCCGAAAGGAUCGCUAAUACCGCAUACGUCCUACGGGAGAAAGCAGGGGACCUUCGGGCCUUGCGCUAUCAGAUGAGCCCAGGUCGGAUUAGCUAAUAGGUGAGGUAAAGGCUCACCUAGGCGACGAUCCGUAGCUGGUCUGAGAGGAUGAUCAGCCACACUGGAACUGAGACACGGUCCAGACUCCUACGGGAGGCAGCAGUGGGGAAUAUUGGACAAUGGGCGAAAGCCUGAUCCAGCCAUGCCGCGUGUGUGAAGAAGGCCUUCGGGUUGUAAAGCACUUUAAGCGGGGAGGAAGUACUUGGGGCUAAUACCCCUGAGUGUUGACGUUACCCGCAGAAUAAGCACCGGCUAACUCUGUGCCAGCAGCCGCGGUAAUACAGAGGGUGCA